This 303-nucleotide ribosomal RNA is filed under the name Triticum aestivum (bread wheat). RNAcentral's name for it is "partial small subunit ribosomal RNA". Lineage: Eukaryota; Viridiplantae; Streptophyta; Magnoliopsida; Poales; Poaceae. The record is from RNAcentral.
AUGGACUGCAUGAUCAUGUUCGGCAUGAUGAGAAACAACAAAACGAAACAUACCAGAAUUACUAUGGUAUCCGGAUACCUACGACUUCGCCAGGGGCUUAUCCCUGGGCAGCCACUCGUCGUCGCUGUAGGUGGCGGUUGUGUAGUUGUCCGGAAGGAGGGUCCUUCCCUUCUUGGACCCUUCGGCCGCCCCAGCCGGGGCGGCCUUCCUUUUCUUGUCUCCCCCGGCUGGGGGGAGAGAACUUUCCUCUUCUUCCUCCUCGUUUUCGUGGGAGGAGUGCACCUCGGUGCUUUCGGACGAUGA